GAUGAAGAACGUAGCGAAACGCGAUAUGUAAUGUGAAUUGCAGAAUUCAGUGAAUCAUCGAAUCUUUGAACGCACAUGGCGCCUUCCAGUAUCCUGGGAGGCAUGCCUGUCCGAGCGUCGUUUCAACCCUCGAGCCCUCGUGGCCCGGCGUUGGGGAUCUGCCACGGCAUGCCCCGAAAUACAGUGGCGGACCCGUUAGGCCCUUCCUUUGCGUAGUAGCAUCAGCCUCGCAUCGGGAGCCGGCGGGCUCUCCUGCCUCUAAACCCCCCAACAAGCCCGCUCCGGCGGCACCAAGGUUGACCUCGGAUCAGGUAGGAAUACCCGCUGAACUUAAGCAUAUCAAUAAGCGGAGGA
RNAcentral lists this unclassified non-coding RNA (354 nucleotides) under soil metagenome. RNAcentral describes it as "partial contains 5.8S ribosomal RNA, internal transcribed spacer 2, and large subunit ribosomal RNA". The stretch from base 1 to 120 matches the Rfam family "5.8S ribosomal RNA", at positions 35 to 154 of the family's 154-position model. The record is from RNAcentral.